UGAACCGUUAUAACCGGCGAUUUCCGAAUGGGGAAACCCAGUGUGACUCGUCACACUAUCAUUAACUGAAUCCAUAGGUUAAUGAGGCGAACCGGGGGAACUGAAACAUCUAAGUACCCCGAGGAAAAGAAAUCAACCGAGAUUCCCCCAGUAGCGGCGAGCGAACGGGGAGGAGCCCAGAGCCUGAAUCAGCAUGUGUGUUAGUGGAAGCGUCUGGAAAGGCGCGCGAUACAGGGUGACAGCCCCGUACACAAAAGCGCAUGUGCUGUGAGCUCGAUGAGUAGGGCGGGACACGUGGUAUCCUGUCUGAAUAUGGGGGGACCAUCCUCCAAGGCUAAAUACUCCUGACUGACCGAUAGUGAACCAGUACCGUGAGGGAAAGGCGAAAAGAACCCCGGCGAGGGGAGUGAAAAAGAACCUGAAACCGU
This 428-nucleotide ribosomal RNA is filed under the name Salmonella enterica subsp. enterica serovar Derby. RNAcentral's name for it is "partial 23S ribosomal RNA". It matches the Rfam family "Bacterial large subunit ribosomal RNA", at positions 91 to 559 of the family's 2925-position model. The record is from RNAcentral. RNAcentral also lists the same sequence under 2 other names. Lineage: Bacteria; Pseudomonadati; Pseudomonadota; Gammaproteobacteria; Enterobacterales; Enterobacteriaceae.